This 353-nucleotide unclassified non-coding RNA is filed under the name soil metagenome. RNAcentral's name for it is "partial contains 5.8S ribosomal RNA, internal transcribed spacer 2, and large subunit ribosomal RNA". The stretch from base 1 to 120 matches the Rfam family "5.8S ribosomal RNA", at positions 35 to 154 of the family's 154-position model. The record is from RNAcentral.
GAUGAAGAACGUAGGGAAAUGCGAUAAGUAAUGUGAAUUGCAGAAUUCAGUGAAUCAUCGAAUCUUUGAACGCACAUUGCGCCCGCCAGUAUUCUGGCGGGCAUGCCUGUUCGAGCGUCAUUACAACCCUCAGGCCCCCGGGCCUGGCGUUGGGGAUCGGCGGAAGCCCCCUGCGGGCACAACGCCGUCCCCCAAAUACAGUGGCGGUCCCGCCGCAGCUUCCAUUGCGUAGUAGCUAACACCUCGCAACUGGAGAGCGGCGCGGCCACGCCGUAAAACACCCAACUUCUGAAUGUUGACCUCGAAUCAGGUAGGAAUACCCGCUGAACUUAAGCAUAUCAAUAAGCGGAGGA